AGGAGGAGCAAGCAGAAGAGAGUCGAUGCUGGGCCACCCGGAGUCUCAGCUUAUAAAUGCUCCCAGCUGCUGGGGCUCAGCCCCCAAAUCACCCCAUAUCUCCCUCCUGACCCUGAAGAGGAAACACUCGCUGCUUUAUGAUGUGGGCAGGGCCCGGAGGGACAGGGCCCUGCGGUUAUUCACCUUGGGGAAAUGCCAGGCGUCAGACAUUGCCCUUCCCUGCAAGGCCAGGGUCAGGACUCCUGGAGGGUCUGAGGAGCCUGCCCCCUCUCUGCCUGUGCCUCCCUCCAUUCACUCGUGUCCUGCCCUUCUGUCCUCCCAUCUUCCCUUCACUCAUUCACUCCCUCCUCAUCGAAUGUGGUGCACUGAGCACCUACUGUGUGGGGGGCCAGCCCUGAGCAGGCACAGAUGACUGAGACACACACUUCUCUAGUCUAGCCCAGGGACAAGGCACAGGCCUGCAGAGCAGGAUGUGAGGCAUCCUGAGCAAGGAGCAGGUGUGUGGCCUGGGGCGCGGGGAAGGAGUCCCAGUGUCCAGCCACAGGCUGGAGCACCUUUGGGGAGGAGGUGGCACUUGAUACAGGGCUUGACAGGCCAAUGGGAUUUGGAUGCAGAGAGAAAUUGCUAGAAGAUUAGAGGAGGCUGAACAAAGGGAGGUGAUAUUCUAGAAUGAGGGGACAGUGUGACAAAGGUGGGAAGGGCCACAAUGAAAGGAAACAAGGACUCUGCAGCAAAGAGCCCUGGAGGGGAACAGACAAUAAGGAUGCAGAUGAUGCAGCCAGAGGAGAGCAGCAGCCAGGGACCAGGGCAGAGAGGGAGGGGGAGUGCCAGGGUGCCCUGAGGACCUCUGGGUGCCAGGUGCUGGACCACGAGUUCCACGAAUUUCACUGUGUUCAAGCUUCACCGUGGGAAGGCGCUCUGGGCUCAGACCCCUGACUUGCAGUUCCUGUCCUGUCUUCCAGGUGGGGCCUCCAGAUCCUCAGUGGUAACUGUGCCCUGCCUGGCUGUGGCAUGUUCCCCGGAUCAAACGCAACAGGCAGGCGAAGUACAGGGCACCCGGCAAAGAUUCGUGGCCUUCCUCCUUACCAUCAAUUAAGGAAACCUCAGCAAGUCUCUCUCCUUUUCCUGGGUCUUCUCUCCGUGAACCCCUUCAUUUCUAUCCAAAGAAUCUGAAAUGUUCAUUGGAGUUGAUCCUUGAAAGUCAGGGCUUAGGGAACUUGGAGGGCAAUUGAUUCCAUCAUGAUUCUCCUAGUGCCACUCUCCAAGACCCCUCCUCUAGACUUGGGAUAUCCAACUGCCUACAUCACAGCUCCACCCCUAUCUCAUGUCACCUCAAACUUCAUUCACAUCCACGCCCCUGUCCUGCUGGCCUGGCACAGGCUGCCCCUCCUGUGGGCUUCUCCCUCCCAGUUGAUGGGGGAAAUGGUAGGAACCGAGAUCUAACAUGCAAGUGGAAUCCUGUUCCUGCAUCAUCACACUAUGCAGAUGAAGAAACGGUCUCAGGAAUACCACACCCAGCAGGCACAGGAGUGCAUGCCUGUGAUCCCAGAAACUCUAGAGGUUGUGGCACAGGGAUGGUGAGUUCCACAUAAGCCUCUACAACCUGGCGAGGCCCAAAGGACUUAGCAAAACCUUGUAUCAAAAUAAAACAAAAAAGGGCUAGG
Non-coding RNA from Marmota flaviventris (yellow-bellied marmot), 1664 nucleotides. Lineage: Eukaryota; Metazoa; Chordata; Mammalia; Rodentia; Sciuridae. The record is from RefSeq and is a predicted model, not a curated record.